Molecule: ribosomal RNA, 1005 nt
Filed under: Triticum aestivum (bread wheat)
Lineage: Eukaryota; Viridiplantae; Streptophyta; Magnoliopsida; Poales; Poaceae
Description: partial small subunit ribosomal RNA
Source: RNAcentral
AUGGAAACUGAAACUGUGGUGAGAAAUUUGCCGGAGCUGCCGCAGGAUGUAUUGAUGGACAUAUUUUCACUCCUGGAGAUACCUGACCUCAUGCGUGCGGCCUCUGUCAGCUCCUCCUGGCGCUCCACGUAUACCAGCCUCUGCAGCCAGCUUAAGCUGUACAAACGGCCUCAAACGCCUUGCCUCCUCUACACCUCUGAAUCUGCUGGUGAGAAUGUAGCUUGUCUCUACAGCCUCGCAGAGAAGAGGGUCUACAUUUUAACUCUCCCGGAUCCACCCAUCCGCAGCAGGUAUCUUAUUGGGUCAUCGCAUGGUUGGCUAGUUACUGCGGAUGACAAGUCUGAGCUACACCUUAUCAAUCCGGUCACUGGCCAACAGAUUGCUCUCCCGUCGGUGGUCACCAUUGGUUAUCUUUCGUUUGCAAGGGUAGGAGAUUGUAAGUGGACCUUGCUGACGCCGGAUUGGGACUAUGAUCAAUGCAUCUACAUGGAUGGUCUAUUGUAUGCAUCCACAAGAGCCGGAAAAAUGGAUGCUUUUGACCUCACUGGUCCUACCGCCACGAGGAAUAUAAUUGCGGAUGAGAUUGCCAUUCACAGUUCUCCAUGGGGUGAUCUGCUGCAAGUUUGCAGGAAGGCUGAACUCAUAGAUGCGGGCUAUGAGGAGCCCAUAGUUAAAACAAAUAAAAUCUUUUUACACAAAGUCGAUAUGGAAGCACAAGAGCUUGUGGAAAUAAAUAGCUUGCAGCAUAACGUGUUGUUUCUUGGGCGUAACCAGUCUAUAUGCCUUAGUGCUGAAGAAUAUCCACAACUGAAGGCAAAUUGUGUCUAUUUCGCAGAUGCUGAGCAAUAUAAUUGGAUGUAUAAGACGAAUCCCCGGGAUAUAGGUGUUCUCAACCUUGAAGAUGGCAGUAGGGAGGAAAUUGUGUCCCCACUUUGGUCCAGCUGGCCAAGUCCCAUAUGGUUAACACCGAGUCUUACAGUGUUGAAUCUGUCAUUGUACGAAUAG